RNAcentral lists this transfer RNA (73 nucleotides) under Bacteroidales bacterium. Its description in RNAcentral is "tRNA-Lys". It matches the Rfam family "tRNA". Rfam says of the family: Transfer RNA (tRNA) molecules are approximately 80 nucleotides in length. Their secondary structure includes four short double-helical elements and three loops (D, anti-codon, and T loops). Lineage: Bacteria; Pseudomonadati; Bacteroidota; Bacteroidia; Bacteroidales. The record is from RNAcentral.
GCACCCCUAGCUCAGCUGGUAGAGCAACUGACUCUUAAUCAGUGGGUCUAGGGUUCGAAUCCCUAGGGGUGCA